Molecule: ribosomal RNA, 433 nt
Filed under: uncultured bacterium
Lineage: Bacteria
Description: partial 16S ribosomal RNA
Rfam family: Bacterial small subunit ribosomal RNA
Source: RNAcentral
AACGAACGCUGGCGGCAUGCCUAACACAUGCAAGUCGAACGAGACCUUCGGGUCUAGUGGCGCACGGGUGCGUAACGCGUGGGAACCUGCCCUUAGGUUCGGAAUAACUCCCCGAAAGGGGUGCUAAUACCGGAUAAUGUCUUCGGACCAAAGAUUUAUCGGCUUUGGAUGGGCCCGCGUUGGAUUAGCUAGUUGGUAGGGUAAAAGCCUACCAAGGCGACGAUCCAUAGCUGGUCUGAGAGGAUGAUCAGCCACACUGGGACUGGGACACGGCCCAGACUCCUACGGGAGGCAGCAGUGGGGAAUAUUGGACAAUGGGCGAAAGCCUGAUCCAGCAAUGCCGCGUGAGUGAUGAAGGCCUUAGGGUUGUAAAGCUCUUUUACCCGGGAUGAUAAUGACAGUACCGGGAGAAUAAGCUCCGGCUAACUCCGUG